This 328-nucleotide ribosomal RNA is filed under the name uncultured eukaryote. RNAcentral describes it as "partial 18S ribosomal RNA". It matches the Rfam family "Eukaryotic small subunit ribosomal RNA", at positions 1470 to 1796 of the family's 1831-position model. The record is from RNAcentral.
CCCUUAGAUGUCCGGGGCUGCACGCGCGCUACACUGAAGGAAUCAGCGUGCUAAAACCAUUGUCGAAAGGCAUUGGUAAACCCAUUAAAAUCCUACGUGAUUGGGAUCGGGAAUUGCAAUUAUUUCCCUUGAACGAGGAAUUCCCAGUAAGUGUGGGUCAUAAGCUCGCGUUGAUUACGUCCCUGCCCUUUGUACACACCGCCCGUCGCUGCCCGGGACUGAGCCGUUUCGAGAAAAGCGGGGACUGCUGCUGUCGGGGCUUUCGGGCCUUGGCUUCGGUGGAAACCGCUUUAAUCGCAGUGGCAUGAACCGGGCAAAAGUCGUAACA